This 82-nucleotide transfer RNA is filed under the name Planctomycetia bacterium. RNAcentral describes it as "tRNA-Leu". It matches the Rfam family "tRNA". From Rfam's summary of the family: Transfer RNA (tRNA) molecules are approximately 80 nucleotides in length. Their secondary structure includes four short double-helical elements and three loops (D, anti-codon, and T loops). Further hydrogen bonds mediate the characteristic L-shaped molecular structure. tRNAs have two regions of fundamental functional importance: the anti-codon, which is responsible for specific mRNA codon recognition, and the 3' end, to which the tRNAs corresponding amino acid is attached (by aminoacyl-tRNA synthetases). tRNAs cope with the degeneracy of the genetic code in two manners: having more than one tRNA (with a specific anti-codon) for a particular amino acid; and 'wobble' base-pairing, i.e. permitting non-standard base-pairing at the 3rd anti-codon position. The record is from RNAcentral. Lineage: Bacteria; Pseudomonadati; Planctomycetota; Planctomycetia.
GCGGAAGUGGCGGAAUAGGCAGACGCGCUGGAUUUAGGUUCCAGUAGGGUAACCUGUGGGGGUUCGACUCCCCCCUUUCGCA